Molecule: small nuclear RNA, 98 nt
Organism: Ictidomys tridecemlineatus (thirteen-lined ground squirrel)
Lineage: Eukaryota; Metazoa; Chordata; Mammalia; Rodentia; Sciuridae
Source: Ensembl
GUACUUGCUUCAGUAGCACAUAAACUAAAAAAUGGAACAAUAGAGAGAUCACUCUGUACAAGGAUGGCACGCAAAUCUGUGAUGUGUUAACGUAUUUU